CUAGUCGCACGGGCUUAGACCCGUGGCAUAUAGCUCAGUAACACGUGGCCAAACUACCCUACAGACCGCGAUAACCUCGGGAAACUGAGGCCAAUAGCGGAUAUAACUCUCAUGCUGGAGUGCCGAGAGUUAGAAACGUUCCGGCGCUGUAGGAUGUGGCUGCGGCCGAUUAGGUAGAUGGUGGGGUAACGGCCCACCAUGCCGAUAAUCGGUACGGGUUGUGAGAGCAAGAACCCGGAGACGGUAUCUGAGACAAGAUACCGGGCCCUACGGGGCGCAGCAGGCGCGAAACCUUUACACUGCACGACAGUGCGAUAGGGGGACUCCGAGUGUGAGGGCAUAUAGCCCUCGCUUUUCUGUACCGUAAGGUGGUACAGGAACAAGGACUGGGCAAGACCGGUGCCAGCCGCCGCGGUAAUACCGGCAGUCCAAGUGAUGGCCGAUAUUAUUGGGCCUAAAGCGUCCGUAGCCGGCCGGACAAGUCCGUUGGGAAAUCGACGCGCUCAACGCGUCGGCGUCCAGCGGAAACUGUCCGGCUUGGGGCCGGAAGACCUGACGGGUACGUCCGGGGUAGGAGUGAAAUCCUGUAAUCCUGGACGGACCACCAAUGGGGAAACCACCUCAAGAAAACGGACCCGACGGUGAGGGACGAAAGCUAGGGUCUCGAACCGGAUUAGAUACCCGGGUAGUCCUAGCUGUAAACGAUGCUCGCUAGGUGUGCCGUACGCUACGAGCCUGCGCU
This 742-nucleotide ribosomal RNA is filed under the name Haloarcula hispanica. Its description in RNAcentral is "bacterial SSU rRNA". It matches the Rfam family "Archaeal small subunit ribosomal RNA", at positions 54 to 797 of the family's 1478-position model. The record is from RNAcentral. Lineage: Archaea; Methanobacteriati; Methanobacteriota; Halobacteria; Halobacteriales; Haloarculaceae.